RNAcentral lists this long non-coding RNA (443 nucleotides) under Mytilus galloprovincialis (Mediterranean mussel). Lineage: Eukaryota; Metazoa; Mollusca; Bivalvia; Mytilida; Mytilidae. The record is from RNAcentral.
CUAAUCAACUGUUUUUAGUUGGCAAAUACAAUUCUAUGUUAUCGUAUGUGAUUUACUUGUUAAAGAAUAUUACCAAUAAAAAACCAAGGGACAUAAACAUCCAUAAUUACAUGCCAAGGUUUAACAUAACUGUGUCAGUCCUUUGAACAAACACAACAUUACUUGGAAUUGUAUUGCUUGGUGAAUAUCACGUUUUAAAAGUAUUCAUUAUGAAUAGUAUGUUACCACUAAAGUUAUUUAUGAAUAAAAUAUACAUGGUAGACUCAGCUCAGUUAUCUAUAGGGGAAAUGUAUUAAUAUAUUUCUGUCGUUGUUAGGCAUGUUAAAGAUUGAUAAGAAUAACAGGGGUUGUGAGAUAUAUGUCAACAAUAAUAGAGCGUUCUCACAUUUUUGAUAAAAGGUAGGAACGAACGUUAAAGGAGCAUGUAUUACAUUAAAAAUAAU